This 635-nucleotide ribosomal RNA is filed under the name Alternaria arborescens. RNAcentral describes it as "LSU rRNA". It matches the Rfam family "Eukaryotic large subunit ribosomal RNA", at positions 40 to 689 of the family's 3401-position model. The record is from RNAcentral. Lineage: Eukaryota; Fungi; Ascomycota; Dothideomycetes; Pleosporales; Pleosporaceae.
AUAUCAAUAAGCGGAGGAAAAGAAACCAACAGGGGAUUGCCCUAGUAACGGCGAGUGAAGCGGCAACAGCUCAAAUUUGAAAUCUGGCUCUUUUAGAGUCCGAGUUGUAAUUUGCAGAGGGCGCUUUGGCUUUGGCAGCGGUCCAAGUUCCUUGGAACAGGACGUCACAGAGGGUGAGAAUCCCGUACGUGGUCGCUGGCUAUUGCCGUGUAAAGCCCCUUCGACGAGUCGAGUUGUUUGGGAAUGCAGCUCUAAAUGGGAGGUACAUUUCUUCUAAAGCUAAAUAUUGGCCAGAGACCGAUAGCGCACAAGUAGAGUGAUCGAAAGAUGAAAAGCACUUUGGAAAGAGAGUCAAACAGCACGUGAAAUUGUUGAAAGGGAAGCGCUUGCAGCCAGACUUGCUUGCAGUUGCUCAUCCGGGUUUUUACCCGGUGCACUCUUCUGUAGGCAGGCCAGCAUCAGUUUGGGCGGUAGGAUAAAGGUCUCUGUCACGUACCUCCUUUCGGGGAGGCCUUAUAGGGGAGACGACAUACUACCAGCCUGGACUGAGGUCCGCGCAUCUGCUAGGAUGCUGGCGUAAUGGCUGUAAGCGGCCCGUCUUGAAACACGGACCAAGGAGUCUAACAUCUAUGCGA